This 73-nucleotide transfer RNA is filed under the name marine bacterium AO1-C. It matches the Rfam family "tRNA". From Rfam's summary of the family: Transfer RNA (tRNA) molecules are approximately 80 nucleotides in length. Their secondary structure includes four short double-helical elements and three loops (D, anti-codon, and T loops). Lineage: Bacteria; Pseudomonadati; Bacteroidota; Cytophagia; Cytophagales; Cytophagaceae. The record is from Rfam by way of RNAcentral.
UGCACUGUAGUUCAAUUGGUAGAGCACCUGAAUUUGGCUCAGGAAGUUGCAGGUUCGAGUCCUGUCAGUGUUA